Molecule: transfer RNA, 71 nt
Filed under: Apocephalus antennatus
Lineage: Eukaryota; Metazoa; Arthropoda; Insecta; Diptera; Phoridae
Description: tRNA-Lys
Source: RNAcentral
CACAAAAUGACUGAAAGCAAGUAUUGGUCUCUUAAACCACAUAAUAAUAGAGUGGCAACUAUUUUUUGUGA